RNAcentral lists this non-coding RNA (30 nucleotides) under Rattus norvegicus (Norway rat). Lineage: Eukaryota; Metazoa; Chordata; Mammalia; Rodentia; Muridae. The record is from RNAcentral.
UNCCAUUAAGACACUAAAUGGAAGUGUUGC